AAAAUUAAAAAUAUAUAUAUCAUUUAAAUAAAUUAUCACUCAUCAUUAAAAUAAGUUAAAAUUCGUAUUAAUAUCAAAUAUAUUUAUAAAAUGAAAAAAUAUAUGCACGGACGUGCGGGUCAAAAUCUAGUUAAUAAUUAAUUUAUAGUUAGUUUAAUAAAAAAUUAUAUAUUUAGAUGAAUCAAUUCAUUUCUCUAAAGAUUUUAAAAAUCAUUGUGGUGAUGAUAUAUUGUUACCUCAACUGUUGUAACACUUUUUUUUUAAUAUAUAGGGGAUUACGAGGCUUCCAUCUUUGACAAAUAAUUCUCACUACUCAAAUUCCAGUCAUAAGACUAAAAACACAGAGAACAUUUACACAAUCCAUGAAAGUGAACAUUUUAGUCAAACAGUUCUAUUCUAUUACAGGCGUUUAUGGAAGAAACGUCAAAAGAAUUUAAGAUUCCACAGUACAUACAUUCUAGUGCUUGUACUUGUACAAUUCCCAGAUUCACAAUGAAAACAAUCCGUAGAGAGGAUAAACCAGUAGAUCAUAACCCUUAGAGCCUAUAAGCUCCUUAGAGUUGAUAACGAGAGAACUCUCUGUAUCCAUAUCUCUGGGCUCAAUCCUUUCAAGAACAGCAAAAGAGCAUAGAUAAGCUUGAUAGUUGGUUCAAGUUUUUACUUCAUCCACUUCUAGAAGGGGAAAAUAUAUCGCUUGAGUUCUCUAGGAUAACAUUUGACUCCUCAAAUUUAACCUCCAAUAAGAAUAUACUGUCAGAUACAAAUUUAGCUUCAGCAUGAAGAACUCUGGCAUUGGAUUACAGAUCUCUGGGCUCAAUCGUUUCAACAUGAAGAACUCUGAAUUUGGAUUGCUCGUGAGUCGUGACAAUGGGCUGUUAGUUGCAGGUCAAAUCAAGAUUUCUGUAUGAAUUCUCACAGAAAGAUUAACAUAAGAGACGAGCUCAGUUCAAAGAAGAAGCGUAAGUGUAGUAAGUUGUGGCAUUUCAAGUACAAACACAAGACUCGAGACAAAGACGAGCUUGAUACCAGUCACCUAAACCUGUUUUGGGGACAAAGAGAAAUAACCAUGGAAGGACUUGCUUACCCUCAUGAUGAAUCGCUUGGAAGUUAUAAGGAGCUUACACCACUUGUAGAGCAGAUUUCUAGAGAUCCGACUGAAGCUGGAUACAAGUUGUGCUUCUUAAUGUACUCAGCUCACAAAGAAAAUAUUAUGAAUGAGUUUGUAUCCAGUGAUCAUAUACGCUUGAGACUGCUUAUAUGAGGAGCUAUUAAAGAUUUGACGCUCUCAGGACGUGACGUUAAGGAAGUUUCUAAACCAAUAACAACCAAACCAAAAAUGAGCACCAUUACAAAUUUCUUAUCGAACCAGCAAAUCUGUUUUCAUCAGUUGAGUUUUGAAUUGUGUAUAAAAGAAUAAACUAAAUUAAGUAAAAAAUCAUUCUCUAUAAUUUUCGUUUGACUAUAACAUAAGGAAGAUAUUUUUGAAAAAGGUUUUCAUCCUUUAAUAGAAGUUACCUUUUGUGUAUGUUUGGGUUUCUAUAUGUAGUCUGAACAAAGAGGGAUAUGAAAGAAAAAAAAGGCUGAGCAAAGCAAAUAUCAUAGCCAGAAAGUAUCAUCACACCAAAAAAAAAAUCAAAGGACAUAUCACCAUGAAGACUUUAAUCGUAUUUGUUUUUGCUGCUAUGUUCUUCAUAUCCUCGAUCCACUAUGGUGCAACAGCCGCUACUACUCCAAAUUUUAAGGAUAUCGAAUGCUUCAGCGGAACAGAAGCAUGCUUCUAUGGAGGCGACAGAAUCUGCACUGCAUUUUGUAAAGAACAUAAAUUUUUUUAUGGUUUGUGUACUCCUCAUGCAUGCUGUUGUCAUAUCCCAACAGGUUCGAGAUGAAAUGAGCUAAUCAUAUGUUUUGUAAUAUCUAUACAUAUGAUCUCAAUCGAAAUCAAUAAACUCUAUUAAAUCAAA
Brassica rapa (field mustard) is the source of this 1961-nucleotide long non-coding RNA. RefSeq lists it as uncharacterized. The record is from RefSeq and is a predicted model, not a curated record. Lineage: Eukaryota; Viridiplantae; Streptophyta; Magnoliopsida; Brassicales; Brassicaceae.